CCUACGGGUGACAGCAGUGAGGAAUAUUGGUCAAUGGACGAGAGUCUGAACCAGCCAAGUAGCGUGAAGGAUGACUGCCCUAUGGGUUGUAAACUUCUUUUAUAAAGGAAUAAAACGAGGCACGUGUGCCUUUUUGCAUGUACUUUAUGAAUAAGGAUCGGCUAACUCCGUGCCAGCAGCCGCGGUAAUACGGAGGAUCCGAGCGUUAUCCGGAUUUAUUGGGUUUAAAGGGAGCGUAGAUGGGUUGUUAAGUCAGUUGUGAAAGUUUGCGGCUCAACCGUAAAAUUGCAAUUGAUACUGGCAGUCGUGAGUACAGUUGAGGUAGGCGGAAUUCGUGGUGUAGCGGUGAAAUGCUUAGAUAUCACGAAGAACCCCGAUUGCGAAGGCAGCUUACUAAACUGUGACUGACAUUGAUGCUCGAAAGUGUGGGUAUCAAACAGGAUUAGAGACCCAGGUAGUC
RNAcentral lists this ribosomal RNA (460 nucleotides) under uncultured bacterium. RNAcentral's name for it is "partial 16S ribosomal RNA". It matches the Rfam family "Bacterial small subunit ribosomal RNA", at positions 338 to 795 of the family's 1533-position model. The record is from RNAcentral.